RNAcentral lists this ribosomal RNA (253 nucleotides) under uncultured bacterium. RNAcentral describes it as "partial 16S ribosomal RNA". It matches the Rfam family "Bacterial small subunit ribosomal RNA", at positions 524 to 776 of the family's 1533-position model. The record is from RNAcentral.
UACAGGGGGUGCAAACGUUGCUCGGAAUUAUUGGGCGUAAAGCGCGCGUAGGCGGCCGCUUAAGUCGGAUGUGAAAGCCCCUGGCUCAACUGGGGAAGUGCACCCGAAACUGAGUGGCUUGAGUACUAAAGAGGGUCGCGGAAUUCCCGGUGUAGAGGUGAAAUUCGUAGAUAUCAGGAGGAACACCGGUGGCGAAGGCGGCGUUCUGGACUGCAACUGACACUGAUGAACGAAAGCCAGGGGAGCAAACGGG